AUUUCAGGUGAUGUAGUUGAGAAGUAGCUGUAAAGCUCAGGAGGGAUAGCGCCAUGUCUCACCGGUACUAUAAAAUGUUUGUAUAUCUAUAUUGGCGCUAUCCAUCCUGAGUUCUAUGGCUUCUUCUUGCUUUUAUCCUGAGAU
Molecule: microRNA precursor, 144 nt
Filed under: Brassica napus (rape)
Lineage: Eukaryota; Viridiplantae; Streptophyta; Magnoliopsida; Brassicales; Brassicaceae
Description: miR390a stem-loop (bna-MIR390a)
Gene: bna-MIR390a
Rfam family: MIR390 microRNA precursor family (bases 19-128)
Source: miRBase by way of RNAcentral